AUUAAUCCAAGGGAUGUGUCCAACCCCGAACAGUCGUGUCUCCUCUCUCUGUCUAUUGCCAACAGGCACCUGUUCUGGAGGGAUGCCUCCGAACAGACACCUCUUCUUCGCACCUCUUCCAGAUGUAUAUAUACUUGAGAAUCAAUAGAAACAGGAUUAAUCGUCCAUUCACUUUCUUUCAAUCUCGUUUUACUCUAAC
RNAcentral lists this long non-coding RNA (199 nucleotides) under Hordeum vulgare. RNAcentral describes it as "long non-coding RNA (HVUL_LNC003357)". Lineage: Eukaryota; Viridiplantae; Streptophyta; Magnoliopsida; Poales; Poaceae. The record is from RNAcentral.